CCCUCACUAGGAUACUGGAGUUCUCAUUUGUUUCUUAGUCCUGUUGACAAGACAAUUUACACAUGGGCUCAGAAGGAAGCUCAAGGAUAGUUUUAUUGGAGUUUGAAAGAGAGACACGGAGCUUGAUACCCGUAGAAUCAUCUGGAAAGAGGAAUCCCAGCUGAGGUCCAUCAGGCUGGUCUUUCUUUGUGUAGUCCCCUGCCUGGAAUACCUGUCUGCUUUUCAGAUGGGAUGACUGCUCAUUCGUCAAGGACCUAAACAUCAUUUCACCAGAGACACAGUUGGAAUCCUCAGUCUAGGGAUGGCCAUCCCUAUCCCUGCCCACUCUUCUGCUGCUCUGUGUUUCUCCUUUGUAAUACUAAUCGUGGUUCAAACUAUACACCGAUUUGUGUAUUAUUUUUCUAACAUAUACACUUUAUGCUCGGUGUUGUAAACUUCCUGAGGGCAAGGACCAUGUCUGUCCUUCUCUCAAUUCCACAGGCAUGGAGCCAGAGGGCCCAGUAAAUACACGCUAUAUGUUUGAUCAAUGAAUAGAAUGAAUGAAAAUCAGAAUCAAAAUUCUACCGGAAUCCCUCCCGAACCUGAUUCCCUACUGACUGACUUCCUGCAAAGCGGCGUUGUGUUUUAUUUCAUUUUUCCCCUUUAUCAUAAAAGAAUAGACUGCAUUUUCCCUUUGCAAUCUACUGUGUACCUUCUCUAGUCCCUGAGUCCUGCGCAGCCUUUGACCGGCACUUUGUCUCUCUCCAAGACCUCUGUUCACCUAUCUGAUACCAGGGUUGGGGCAUCGGAGUGGGAGUUGGGGCACCAGGGUUGACUUCCUUUUGGACACUUAAAAAAAUAAAAGCCAAGGCACACUUCACAAAAGCCAGAAGGCAUUGCUGUGCUCAGGAUGCAGUUGUGGGGCUUUGGGUGGGCAUGGCAACGAUUUCUAGGCGUCACACUGUGCUCAGGAGAAGGUGGACAGACUGUCUUAUCACUGUGUGCACAGGGUUCGGGCAGCUAGCUCUCAGGCUAACUGGUGUGCCACCUGCUGCUUCUCGGAACAGCCACCAUGAGGACCGCUCCAGGGGCUCCACUCCACAGAACAGCGUGAGCUCCUUCCUACAUUUGUACGGCAGAGGGGCUGUGUGUACGUUUUUUAUUGGUAUACGACUGCAACUUGCUUGUGGCUAAAACAAUAAAUCGUCAAGUUCCAA
This is a long non-coding RNA of Mesocricetus auratus (golden hamster), 1196 nucleotides long. RefSeq lists it as uncharacterized. NCBI's taxonomy places the organism in Eukaryota, Metazoa, Chordata, Mammalia, Rodentia, Cricetidae. The transcript is spliced from 2 exons. The record is from RefSeq and is a predicted model, not a curated record.